RNAcentral lists this long non-coding RNA (206 nucleotides) under Manihot esculenta (cassava). RNAcentral describes it as "long non-coding RNA (MESC_LNC011135)". The record is from RNAcentral. Lineage: Eukaryota; Viridiplantae; Streptophyta; Magnoliopsida; Malpighiales; Euphorbiaceae.
CUCGGGUUUCCAGCCCCAUUAUAGGCCGCCAUCGGCGGCAUCAUAAACUUUUUGGGAACGGUCUCCUGCUGCAUUACCUUUGAGAAGGGAGAAGAAGUAGGCAAGGAGGUUUGACUCUGAUCUUUCUUACCUAGCUCGGCUAGUAGCUGCUCCUUCAACCUUUUCAGUUUUUGGUUCAUUUUCUCGUCUUCUGGGUUGGAUCUUUU